GCGUUCGCUUGUUCCUUCGGGAGUGAGAGGAAAGUCCGGACACCGUAGGGCAGGAUUCCUCGUGAAAACGGGGGCGCGGCAGGGUAACCGGCCGUGACGGAUAGUGUCACAGAAAAUAACCGCCUUGGGACUUGUCUCAGGGUAAGGGUGAAAAGGGGAGGUAAGAGCUCACCGCUGUAUUGGUAACAAUGCAGGCAAGAUAAACCCAAUCCGGUGCAAGGCAAAAUAGGGAAUCUGGCGGCCCGUCUUUGAUUCCGGGUAUGUCGCAUCUCGCUUCGGCGGGAACUUCGCUUCGGCGGGGUAGAUAAAUGAACGC
This 316-nucleotide RNase P RNA is filed under the name Opitutales bacterium. Its description in RNAcentral is "RNase P RNA component class A". It matches the Rfam family "Bacterial RNase P class A", at positions 13 to 319 of the family's 367-position model. From Rfam's summary of the family: Ribonuclease P (RNase P) is a ubiquitous endoribonuclease, found in archaea, bacteria and eukarya as well as chloroplasts and mitochondria. Its best characterised activity is the generation of mature 5'-ends of tRNAs by cleaving the 5'-leader elements of precursor-tRNAs. Cellular RNase Ps are ribonucleoproteins. The record is from RNAcentral. Lineage: Bacteria; Pseudomonadati; Verrucomicrobiota; Opitutia; Opitutales.